RNAcentral lists this long non-coding RNA (540 nucleotides) under Mustela putorius furo (domestic ferret). RNAcentral's name for it is "lncRNA (ENSMPUG00000024136.1)". The record is from RNAcentral. Lineage: Eukaryota; Metazoa; Chordata; Mammalia; Carnivora; Mustelidae.
CAGCAGAGUCUACACAGAUAAACUCCGCGGUGUGUCUCAUUAGUCCAGGAACAGCUUGAGCUAAUCGAGGCGUGCCUCUGCCGUGCGCUGCUCAUGCCAGGGGGGUUAAAAAAAGAAAUACUCACGCCGAUCCAAGGGCUUUUUGUGGCAGUGCAGAAAUAAUAAACCCAAACACAGAGGCGAGCUCUUUCAGGAGUGAGGUGGGUGCCCGAUCGAGGUCUGAUUCUGCUGGCUUCUGUCGGGCCCCCGGAGAGCCGAGCUGUCCCAGGCGGCCCGUUCUGCAUCCCCUCCGUAGCGGCAGGCCUCUCUCCUCCAGGCCAGAGGAAGCACUGGAAUUUGAGCCCCAGGGUUUUCAACAACUAAGUCCAGUGUCCUCAGCCUCUCUCGGUCUGCAAGAGAGAGACCACAAGUAGGCAGAGAGAGAGGAGGAAGCAGGUUCCCUGCUGAGCAGAAAGCCAGAUGCGGGGCUCAAUCCCAGGACCCUGGGAUCAUGACCUGAGCCGAAGGCAAAGGCUUAACCCAAUGAGCCACCCAGGUGCC